UUAGAGCGCAUCAGUUUUAAAGUCAUUAAGAACAUGUGAAAGGUGUUUUUUUUUUCCAAUAUGAACUCAUGCAAGUUACCAAAACUGUGAUAACCCUUUUUUACUUACUGUAAAGAGUCAUUUUCAUAAAGAUCAAUUCAUUGAUUUGUUUUUUGUAAAGCUAUCAUUCAAUAUAUAUUAUAAAUUAAUAUAAAUUUAAGGGAAGCUCUAUGUAAGGAGACUUAGAGCCAAACUGUUUAAGCUGUAUCAUCCCAAC
Molecule: long non-coding RNA, 256 nt
Filed under: Homo sapiens (human)
Lineage: Eukaryota; Metazoa; Chordata; Mammalia; Primates; Hominidae
Description: non-protein coding lnc-EDIL3-6:1
Source: RNAcentral